GACGAACGCUGGCGGCGUGCUUAACACAUGCAAGUCGAACGGAAAGACCCUGCUUUUGUGGGGUGCUCGAGUGGCGAACGGGUGAGUAACACGUGAGUAACCUGCCCUUGACUUUGGGAUAACUUCAGGAAACUGGGGCUAAUACCGGAUAGGAGCUCCUGCUGCAUGGUGGGGGUUGGAAAGUUUCGGCGGUUGGGGAUGGACUCGCGGCUUAUCAGCUUGUUGGUGGGGUAGUGGCUUACCAAGGCUUUGACGGGUAGCCGGCCUGAGAGGGUGACCGGCCACAUGGGGACUGAGAUACGGCCCAGACUCCUACGGGAGGCAGCAGUGGGGAAUAUGGCACAAUGGGCGGAAGCGUGAUGCAGCAACGCCGCGUGCGUGAUGACGGCCUUCGGGUUGUAAACCGCUUUCGCCUGUGACGAAGCGUGAGUGACGGUAAUGGGUAAAGAAGCACCGGCUAACUACGUG
RNAcentral lists this ribosomal RNA (468 nucleotides) under uncultured bacterium. Its description in RNAcentral is "partial 16S ribosomal RNA". It matches the Rfam family "Bacterial small subunit ribosomal RNA", at positions 28 to 507 of the family's 1533-position model. The record is from RNAcentral.